Molecule: long non-coding RNA, 363 nt
Organism: Silurus meridionalis
Lineage: Eukaryota; Metazoa; Chordata; Actinopteri; Siluriformes; Siluridae
Exons: 3
Source: RefSeq, a predicted model, not a curated record
AUCCCUAAAUGAUCCAUUUGAAGAGGUGGGUACAAUGGUCAGCAAUGUAAAGGGGUCAGUAGAGGCUAAAAAGUGCUGUGAGGACAUGUCCGGAUCUCAAACAUAUCACUGAACUAGCUUUUGAUAUCAUUUUAAUGCAAAUACAAAUGUGAGGCUGAAUUUCAAUGGCAUUGCAAAAUGACACAAAUCUUGGUAUGCAUCUUCUGGACCAUGACCUGAGGCUAUGCAAGAGGUACAGAAGUUGAUCACAGGUCACAGCAGUUGCAGCAGCUGGAGAAGAUAUGAACAAUUGGCUCCAGUCUGGAUAUUUAGCUCCCCAAGAUGGCAUAAGGAAGAAACCUUGAGAGGAACCAGAAGAGGGUC